RNAcentral lists this unclassified non-coding RNA (282 nucleotides) under fungal sp. Its description in RNAcentral is "partial internal transcribed spacer region". The stretch from base 1 to 46 matches the Rfam family "Eukaryotic small subunit ribosomal RNA", at positions 1786 to 1831 of the family's 1831-position model. The record is from RNAcentral. Lineage: Eukaryota; Fungi.
AAGUCGUAACAAGGUUUCCGUAGGUGAACCUGCGGAAGGAUCAUCAAAGAGUGAUCGUGUGUGGGGGAGGAGAGUUUAUGCGCGCAACGCGCGCGCGCCUCCUCCUCCCCACGCCAAUCUUGUGUGAACCGUUAUUCUGUGGUGUGUGUAUGCGUUGGUGUGUGAUGUGUUUACAGCACUCCCACCAGCAUCACAAACACAAUAAUCUCUCUCUUUAACCUUUGUCUAACAUGAGGUACCCACAAUUCAAAACAACUUUUAACAAUGGAUCUCUUGGCUCUC